This is a long non-coding RNA of Marmota monax (woodchuck), 997 nucleotides long. RefSeq lists it as uncharacterized. The record is from RefSeq and is a predicted model, not a curated record. NCBI's taxonomy places the organism in Eukaryota, Metazoa, Chordata, Mammalia, Rodentia, Sciuridae. The transcript has 4 exons.
CACCUUCCAACUCGCCAAAGCCAAGAACCACGUCGGAGGCUUUCCCCUGCCUGUCUUUGACCUCCAGAGCGGUGAUGGUGCAGCCCCAGGAAAUGAUGUCCACUUUCAACAGGCUCUGAUGGCAGAGGACUAAACCCUAAAGGACUAUGAGAUGAAAUACAGGCAUGACUGUAUGCAUUCUUUGCUAAAUGUAGCAACUCCAGAAGAGUGUUGGCCCUGGAAUGGAGGGGGAUACUAGGAGCCUAGAGACAUGUUUUGUUCAAUCCCUCUGCAUACCUAUCCCUUGUGCUUUGCCCUGCAUUUGACCUUAUUCCUGGAUGCUUCAGACAGUGUCCAACUACACUGUGAUGAAAAUCACUUGUAUCAGGAAGCCAGAAAUGCCUAGAAGAAUCAAGUUAAUGGGAGUUAUAUUUCAAUUCAAUUUAUCAAUUUUGGAGCAGCUGCCAGGGAAUGUAUUGUGGGGGACACGUGAGAAGUGUUUUAGGAAGAUGGACUCAGUUUGGCUAUAUGGCAUGUUGUUCAUUUGUCAACUAUUCUCCCUUCCACUUUCCAUCAUCGGAUGAUGCAGCCAAAAGUUCCUCACCAGAUGCCAGCCCCUUUGUCUAGGACUCCCCAGUCUCAAAAACAUGAGAAGUUAAUUUCUAUUGCUUAAAAAGUAUUCGGUGUAUGGUGUUUUGUUAUCUCUUCACAAAAUGUACUAAGACGCAUCUCCUGCCAAAAGAAUGGAAGCUCAAAGAGAAUGGAAAAUGAUUCCCCCCUGAAAGCCACUGCUUGAGGUCACAAAUAUCCAGUCAUCUGCUCCUAGAAAAUAGAUCCAAUGCCACAAUGAAUAAGAAAGAGUUUGCUUAAGAUUUGUGGGAAAGCAGGAAAGAAGUAAAAUCACACAGCACUCAGGAACUUGAAAAUAUUUUGAAAGGAUCUUCUUUUCUCCCAGAGUUCCUCUCCCCAACCAAUUGCCUCUUUUGCACAGCUUAAUAAAUAUCCCUUCUAAAAAUCA